RNAcentral lists this transfer RNA (64 nucleotides) under Chrotogonus sp. TAMUIC IGC OR284. RNAcentral describes it as "tRNA-Glu". It matches the Rfam family "tRNA". Rfam says of the family: Transfer RNA (tRNA) molecules are approximately 80 nucleotides in length. Their secondary structure includes four short double-helical elements and three loops (D, anti-codon, and T loops). Lineage: Eukaryota; Metazoa; Arthropoda; Insecta; Orthoptera; Pyrgomorphidae. The record is from RNAcentral.
AUCUAUAUAGUUUAUAAAAACAUUACAUUUUCACUGUAAAGAUAAUAUAAUUUAUUUAUAGGUA